AGUCACUGACAUUAGAUACCCGCGUAGUCCAGGGUGUAAACGCUGCAGACUUGGUGUUGGGGCCCUUUGGGGGCAUUCAGUGCCGGAGAGAAGUUGUUAAGUCUGCUACUUGGGAGUACGUCCGCAAGGAUGAAACCUAAAGGAAUUGGCGGGGGAGCACCGCAACGGGAGGAGCGUGCGGUUUAAUUGGAUUCAACACCGUAAAACUCACCAGGGAAGACUGUUACAUGAAGGCCGAGAUGAAGACUCUGCUAGAUUUUCAG
Molecule: ribosomal RNA, 263 nt
Filed under: uncultured archaeon
Lineage: Archaea
Description: partial 16S ribosomal RNA
Rfam family: Archaeal small subunit ribosomal RNA
Source: RNAcentral